Myotis lucifugus (little brown bat) is the source of this 107-nucleotide small nuclear RNA. Lineage: Eukaryota; Metazoa; Chordata; Mammalia; Chiroptera; Vespertilionidae. The record is from Ensembl.
GUGCUCACUUUGGCAGCACAUAUACUAAAAUUGGAAUGAUACAGAGAAUAUUAGCAUGGCCCCUACAGAAGGAUAAUACACAAAUUCAUGAAGCAUUCAAAAAAAAA